CACGCAGUAAACGAUGCACACUAGGUGGUGGGCGGUAGCGCUCAGUACCGUAGCGAACGCGUUAAGUGUGCCGCCUGGGGAGUAUGCUCGCAAGGGUGAAACUCAAAGGAAUUGACGGGGGCCCGCACAAGCGGUGGAGCAUGUGGUUUAAUUCGAUGGUACGCGAGGAACCUUACCAGGGCUUGACAUGGGGCGGAGCGGGCGUGAAAGCGUCCGGCCCUUCGGGGCCGUCCCACAGGUGC
This 242-nucleotide ribosomal RNA is filed under the name uncultured bacterium. RNAcentral describes it as "partial 16S ribosomal RNA". It matches the Rfam family "Bacterial small subunit ribosomal RNA", at positions 796 to 1041 of the family's 1533-position model. The record is from RNAcentral.